AGGCUUUGAAGCGUGGACGCCAGUCUGCGUGGAGCCGACCUUGAAAUACCACCCUUUAAUGUUUGAUGUUCUAACGUGGAUCCGUAAUCCGGGUUGCGGACAGUGUCUGGUGGGUAGUUUGACUGGGGCGGUCUCCUCCUAAAGAGUAACGGAGGAGCACGAAGGUUGGCUAAUCCUGGUCGGACAUCAGGAGGUUAGUGCAAUGGCAUAAGCCAGCUUGACUGCGAGCGUGACGGCGCGAGCAGGUGCGAAAGCAGGUCAUAGUGAUCCGGUGGUUCUGAAUGGAAGGGCCAUCGCUCAACGGAUAAAAGGUACUCCGGGGAUAACAGGCUGAUACCGCCCAAGAGUUCAUAUCGACGGCGGUGUUUGGCACCUCGAUGUCGGCUCAUCACAUCCUGGGGCUGAAGUAGGUCCCAAGGGUAUGGCUGUUCGCCAUUUAAAGUGGUACGCGAGCUGGGUUUAGAACGUCGUGAGACAGUUCGGUCCCUAUCUGCCGUGGGCGCUGGAGAACUGAGGGGGGCUGCUCCUAGUACGAGAGGACCGGAGUGGACGCAUCACUGGUGUUCGGGUUGUCAUGCCAAUGGCACUGCCCGGUAGCUAAAUGCGGAAGAGAUAAGUGCUGAAAGCAUCUAAGCACGAAACUUGCCCCGAGAUGAGUUCUCCCUGAGACUUAGAGUCUCCUGAAGGAACGUUGAAGACGACGACGUUGAUAGGCCGGGUGUGUAAGCGCAGCGAUGCGUUGAGCUAACCGGUACUAAUGAACCGUGAGGCUUAACCUUACAACGCCGAAG
This 791-nucleotide ribosomal RNA is filed under the name Salmonella enterica subsp. enterica serovar Infantis. RNAcentral's name for it is "partial 23S ribosomal RNA". It matches the Rfam family "Bacterial large subunit ribosomal RNA", at positions 2152 to 2925 of the family's 2925-position model. The record is from RNAcentral. Lineage: Bacteria; Pseudomonadati; Pseudomonadota; Gammaproteobacteria; Enterobacterales; Enterobacteriaceae.